GCCCUUGGAAGGGAUGUAUUUAUUAGAUUAAAAACCAAUGCCCUUCGGGGCUCACUGGUGAUUCAUGAUAACUCCUCGAAUCGCAUGGCCUUGUGCCGGCGAUGGUUCAUUCAAAUUUCUUCCCUAUCAACUUUCGAUGUUUGGGUAUUGGCCAAACAUGGUUGCAACGGGUAACGGAGGGUUAGGGCUCGACCCCGGAGAAGGAGCCUGAGAAACGGCUACUACAUCCAAGGAAGGCAGCAGGCGCGCAAAUUACCCAAUCCCGACACGGGGAGGUAGUGACAAUAAAUACUGAUACAGGGCUCUUUUGGGUCUUGUAAUUGGAAUGAGUACAAUUUAAAUCCCUUAACGAGGAACAAUUGGAGGGCAAGUCUGGUGCCAGCAGCCGCGGUAAUUCCAGCUCCAAUAGCGUAUAUUAAAGUUGUUGUGGUUAAAAAGCUCGUAGUUGAACCUUGGGCCUGGCUGGCCGGUCCGCCUCACCGCGUGUAUUGGUCCGGCCGGGCCUUUCCCUCUGUGGAACCCCAUGCCCUUCACUGGGUGUGGCGGGGAACCAGGACUUUUACAAGGGC
Molecule: ribosomal RNA, 569 nt
Filed under: uncultured Pezizomycotina
Lineage: Eukaryota; Fungi; Ascomycota
Description: SSU rRNA
Rfam family: Eukaryotic small subunit ribosomal RNA
Source: RNAcentral